This 71-nucleotide transfer RNA is filed under the name Typomys planifrons (Miller's striped mouse). RNAcentral's name for it is "Hybomys planifrons (Miller's striped mouse) tRNA-Leu". It matches the Rfam family "tRNA". Rfam says of the family: Transfer RNA (tRNA) molecules are approximately 80 nucleotides in length. Their secondary structure includes four short double-helical elements and three loops (D, anti-codon, and T loops). Lineage: Eukaryota; Metazoa; Chordata; Mammalia; Rodentia; Muridae. The record is from RNAcentral.
ACUUCUGUAGGAUAACAGCAAUCCAUUGGUCUUAGGAACCAAAAAUCUUGGUGCAAAUCCAAACAAAAGUA